This 261-nucleotide unclassified non-coding RNA is filed under the name Glomus sp. RNAcentral describes it as "partial contains 5.8S ribosomal RNA and internal transcribed spacer 2". The stretch from base 1 to 65 matches the Rfam family "5.8S ribosomal RNA", at positions 84 to 154 of the family's 154-position model. Lineage: Eukaryota; Fungi; Glomeromycota; Glomeromycetes; Glomerales; Glomeraceae. The record is from RNAcentral.
GUGAAUCAUCGAAUUUUUGAACGCAAAUUGCACUCUCUUCGGAGAGUAUGCCUGUUUGAGGGUCAGCCUAAAAAAAAUCGACAUAGUCGCUUUUUCUCGGUGACAUUCGUCGGAGAUUUGGUCAUCUUAAACCUUUUGGUUUUAAGCGGCUUAAAAAUUUCUUUACGAUUCCACGAACGUUUCUAAGAUUUUACUUCUUACACACGUUUAAGUUAUCGAUCUGUCUUAGGCGUGAACGUUUCAUCGUAUCGCGUCCAGAAA